RNAcentral lists this ribosomal RNA (450 nucleotides) under uncultured bacterium. RNAcentral's name for it is "partial 16S ribosomal RNA". It matches the Rfam family "Bacterial small subunit ribosomal RNA", at positions 354 to 796 of the family's 1533-position model. The record is from RNAcentral.
GUGGGGAAUAUUGGACAAUGGGCGAAAGCCUGAUCCAGCCAUGCCGCGUGUGUGAAGAAGGUCUUCGGAUUGUAAAGCACUUUAAGAUGGGAGGAAGGGCAGUAAGUUAAUACCUUGCUGUUUUGACGUUACCGACAGAAUAAGCACCGGCUAACUUCGUGCCAGCAGCCGCGGUAAUACGAAGGGUGCAAGCGUUAAUCGGAAUUACUGGGCGUAAAGCGCGCGUAGGUGGUUUUGUAAGUUGGAGGUGAAAUCCCCGGGCUCAACCUGGGAACUGCCUCCAAAACUGCAUGACUAGAGUACGGUAGAGGGUAGUGGAAUUUCCUGUGUAGCGGUGAAAUGCGUAGAUAUAGGAAGGAACACCAAUGGCGAAGGCGACUACCUGGACUGAUACUGACACUGAGGUGCGAAAGCGUGGGGAGCAAACAGGAUUAGAAACCCCGGUAGUCC